GUGAGGAAUAUUGGUCAAUGGGCGAGAGCCUGAACCAGCCAAGUCGCGUGAAGGAUGAAGGUUUUAUGAAUUGUAAACUUCCUUUGCAGGGGAAUAAAGUACGGUACGUGUACCGUUUUGUAUGUACUCUGCGAAUAAGGAUCGGCUAACUCCGUGCCAGCAGCCGCGGUAAUACGGAGGAUCCAAGCGUUAUCCGGAUUUAUUGGGUUUAAAGGGUGCGCAGGCGGGUUGAUAAGUCAGCGGUGAAAGUUUGCAGCUUAACUGUAAAAUUGCCGUUGAAACUGUCGAUCUUGAGUGCAAAUGAGGUAAGCGGAAUGUGUUGUGUAGCGGUGAAAUGCUUAGAUAUAACACAGAACACCGAUUGCGAAGGCAGCUUACUGGGAUGCAACUGACGCUCAUGCACGAAAGCGUGGGGAUCAAACAGGAUUAGAAACCCCAGUAGUCC
RNAcentral lists this ribosomal RNA (445 nucleotides) under uncultured bacterium. Its description in RNAcentral is "partial 16S ribosomal RNA". It matches the Rfam family "Bacterial small subunit ribosomal RNA", at positions 354 to 796 of the family's 1533-position model. The record is from RNAcentral.